RNAcentral lists this long non-coding RNA (1483 nucleotides) under Homo sapiens (human). RNAcentral's name for it is "long intergenic non-protein coding RNA 2052". The record is from RNAcentral. Lineage: Eukaryota; Metazoa; Chordata; Mammalia; Primates; Hominidae.
CCCCCGCCCACCGCCUCAGCAACCAACCUCCAGGGAGGGGAAAGGGGGCAGAAGUUUGAGUUAAUAACUAAUAGCUAAAGAUGUAAACAAUAAGCCUCCAUAAAACCCCAAAAGGACUGGACUGGUUUCUGAGAGCUUCCAGGUUGUUGAGCACGUGGAGGUUCUGGGAGGGUCCACACCCAGAGAAGGCAUGGAAGCUGACCCCUUCCCCAUACCUUGCUCUUUGCAUCUCUUCCAUUUGGCUGUUCCCGAGUUGUAUACUUUGUAAUAAGUGGGAUUUCCACCCAACAACAAUUCAGCCACACUGCUUCACACAUCUAGAAUCCAUCCAAAAUUGUAAAGGCUUUGUGGCACUACAGUGAAACAGGCAAGAACAUCUUCCAAACAUCCAGCACAAGAGCACACAGGAGGCCGGCAUAAUCACGAAUUGCAGCUGUCUGAAGGGCAGUCACAUAAAAGAGGAGAAGCUUCACCUUUGCUUCACAAGGCACAUCUUGAACCAGGGAUGGAAAUUACAGAGAGGCCAAAACCAGCUCGGUGUGAGCAGGACUGGUAACAGACUGGCCAAGCAACAGAAGGGGCUGCCCUGUGAAGAAGCAAGCUCUCUGUCAAUGGGAGGUGCAAGCUGAGCCUGCACUACCUUUUGUCACGGUUGCUAUGGAAAAGAUUAAGAGCCCGGGCUGCUUGAGUGUCUGCAUGACAUGGCAGCUGGCUCCCUGAAGAGCACGUGAUCCGAAAGAGAGAGCAAGACAGAAGCGCAGUGUCUUCAACAGCAUAUCUUUGAAAGUCAUAUUCCACCGUUUUCACUACAUUCUAUUGAUAAGAUAGCCCUUCCUCCUCUGGGGGCCUGGGCAUCAGCAAGUCGGAUGGCAGUGGAAGGUGGAGAAAUGGAAUCCUGCUGGGGGCUCAGGAGGCCUGCCCCCUGAUGCUGCCGUGCACUGCAGAUGUCCUUGAUGAAGAGAAUGAAUGGAAGCUGUCUUUCUCAAUGGCAAAAGGGCAUACUGCUGUUAUUGUCAGUGAGGGGUCAGUAGUUUAAAUGAUGAAACUCUGGGGAUCAGCGUAAAGUAAACCAACAUACUGCAUGUAAAUUCCUCAUUCUUACUGCUGUGAGAACAAUUGUUAGGAGCCAAAAACUUCAGAGCUUUCAAAGAACUGUAAUGAGAUAGCACAAUGCAGGCAAAAAGCCAGUGUUAACGGAGCAAGAAACUUCCCAGUUCUGACAUUCACAGCAUGACCUAGAGCAUGCGGAUUCCCCUCUCUGAGUCACUGGUUUCUCACCUGCAAAAGAAAGCGGGGACAGGGAAGGAGGAAGAAGCUUCGAGAGGCUGGAACAGUUGAGGGAGCGCUGACACGGUAAAGGCCACUUUGCUCAUCAUCACCAGGCGUGCUGCCGAAAAUUUCCACUCUGUUUACUCCCAAGACCUUACUCCUACUAUGUGGAGACACAUUUGAAUAAAAAAUUGGCCUCUUUUCAAAGUCAAAA